RNAcentral lists this ribosomal RNA (615 nucleotides) under uncultured bacterium. RNAcentral describes it as "bacterial SSU rRNA". It matches the Rfam family "Bacterial small subunit ribosomal RNA", at positions 873 to 1492 of the family's 1533-position model. The record is from RNAcentral.
CUGGGGAGCACGGUCGCAAGAUUAAAACUCAAAGGAAUUGACGGGGACCCGCACAAGCGGUGGAUGAUGUGGAUUAAUUCGAUGCAACGCGAAAAACCUUACCUACCCUUGACAUGUCUGGAAUGCCGAAGAGAUUUGGCAGUGCUCGCAAGAGAACCGGAACACAGGUGCUGCAUGGCUGUCGUCAGCUCGUGUCGUGAGAUGUUGGGUUAAGUCCCGCAACGAGCGCAACCCUUGUCAUUAGUUGCUACGCAAGAGCACUCUAAUGAGACUGCCGGUGACAAACCGGAGGAAGGUGGGGAUGACGUCAAGUCCUCAUGGCCCUUAUGGGUAGGGCUUCACACGUCAUACAAUGGUCGGGACAGAGGGUCGCCAACCCGCGAGGGGGAGCCAAUCUCAGAAACCCGAUCGUAGUCCGGAUCGCAGUCUGCAACUCGACUGCGUGAAGUCGGAAUCGCUAGUAAUCGCGGAUCAGAAUGUCGCGGUGAAUACGUUCCCGGGUCUUGUACACACCGCCCGUCACACCAUGGGAGUGGGUUUCACCAGAAGUAGGUAGCCUAACCGUAAGGAGGGCGCUUACCACGGUGGGAUUCAUGACUGGGGUGAAGUCGUAAC